CCUACGGGUGGCUGCAGUGAGGAAUAUUGGUCAAUGGACGAGAGUCUGAACCAGCCAAGUAGCGUGAAGGAUGAAUGCCCUAUGGGUUGUAAACCUCUUUUAUAUGGGAAUAAAGUGUUCCACGUGUGGGAGUUUGUGUGUACCAGAAGAAUAAGGAUCGGCUAACUCCGUGCCAGCAGCCGCGGUAAUACGGAGGAUUCGAGCGUUAUCCGGAUUUAUUGGGUUUAAAGGGAGCGUAGGUGGAUUGUUAAGUCAGUGGUGAAAGUUUGCGGCUCAACCGUAAAAUUGCAGUUGAAACUGGCAGUCUUGAGUACAGUAGAGGUGGGCGGAAUUCGUGGUGUAGCGGUGAAAUGCUUAGAUAUCACGAAGAACUCCGAUUGCGAAGGCAGCUCACUGGCCUGCAACUGACACUGAGGCUCGAAAGUGUGGGUAUCAAACAGGAUUAGAUACCCGGGUAGUC
RNAcentral lists this ribosomal RNA (460 nucleotides) under uncultured bacterium. RNAcentral's name for it is "partial 16S ribosomal RNA". It matches the Rfam family "Bacterial small subunit ribosomal RNA", at positions 338 to 795 of the family's 1533-position model. The record is from RNAcentral.